This is a long non-coding RNA of Saccostrea cuccullata (small rock oyster), 429 nucleotides long. RefSeq lists it as uncharacterized. NCBI's taxonomy places the organism in Eukaryota, Metazoa, Mollusca, Bivalvia, Ostreida, Ostreidae. The record is from RefSeq and is a predicted model, not a curated record. The transcript is spliced from 4 exons.
GGGUUCAACAUAACAUUUGAUUAGCACGGACUGAAGCGAUCUUUAGAAAUACUACGAGGGAUGAAAUAGUUCAAAUAUAGACGAUUCAGCGUGAAAUUAUUGUCAACAAACCCACGUGGAGUACAAAUGAUUUACAAUGGUUGACUGGAAGUGACAGGCCUUCUCUUCAAAAUAAACAAGAUGUGUCCCUGCUACGGAGGCACCUAACAGAAAGUGGAUAUAAUUAAGAUUGCAUUGUGGAUUUGCCCUGUGCCACCUCUAAAUGGCAGAAGAAAACUCAACUCAGCACAACCAGAAACACUUUUCUGAAGAAAAUUCUGCCAAGAGACAGUUGUGAAGGGAAUCGUGUAGAUAAUCUCCAGAAAAGAAAUCACCACUGAUAUUAGGAUGUAUGUAACAAUAUUUUAAUACAAUCAUCAAAGACAAAUU